GACGAACGCUGGCGGCGUGCUUAACACAUGCAAGUCGAACGGUAUUUAGUAAAAAGUAUCCUCAGUGGAAGAUUACUAAAGAGAUUAGUGAACGGGGGAGUAACUCCUGAGCAACCUGCCUCUGCCAGUGGGAUCGCAUCGUGAAACCGGGUAUAAUACCGCAUCAAAUCGUUGAAACACAAGUUUUACCGGUCAAAGAUUCAGCGGUCAUAGCUGGGCUCACGUCUGAUUAGCUGGUUGGUGAGAUAACCGCCCACCAAGGCGACGAUCAGUAGCUGGUGCGAGAGGAUGAACGGACACACUGGAACUGAGACACGGACCAAACUCCCACGGGAGGAAGCAGGUGGGAAUAAUGCACAAUGGGGGAAUGACUGAGGCAGCCGCGCCGCGUGAACCUAGAAGGUAUUCGUAUCGUAAAGUUCUGUCCAAUGGGAAGAUAAUGACGGUACCAAAGAAGAAAGCGACGGCUAACUACGUG
This 478-nucleotide ribosomal RNA is filed under the name uncultured bacterium. RNAcentral describes it as "partial 16S ribosomal RNA". It matches the Rfam family "Bacterial small subunit ribosomal RNA", at positions 28 to 507 of the family's 1533-position model. The record is from RNAcentral.